UACNUUGAGGCAGCAGUGGGGAAUAUUGCACAAUGGGCGCAAGCCUGAUGCAGCAACGCCGCGUGAGGGAAGACGGUUUUCGGAUUGUAAACCUUUGUUCUUAGUGACGAAGAAGUGACGGUAGCUAAGGAGCAAGCCACGGCUAACUACGUGCCAGCAGCCGCGGUAAU
RNAcentral lists this ribosomal RNA (170 nucleotides) under uncultured rumen bacterium. RNAcentral's name for it is "partial 16S ribosomal RNA". It matches the Rfam family "Bacterial small subunit ribosomal RNA", at positions 340 to 524 of the family's 1533-position model. The record is from RNAcentral.